AGCGAACGCUGGCGGCAGGCUUAACACAUGCAAGUCGAACGCCAUCUUCGGAUGGAGUGGCAGACGGGUGAGUAACGCGUGGGAACGUACCCUUUGGUUCGGAAUAUUCUCGGGAAACUGGGAGCAAUACCGGAUAAGCCCUACGGGGGAAAGAUUUAUCGCCAAAGGAGCGGCCCGCGUCAGAUUAGGUAGUUGGUGGGGUAAAGGCCUACCAAGCCUACGAUCUGUAGCUGGUCUGAGAGGAUGAUCAGCCACACUGGGACUGAGACACGGCCCAGACUCCUACGGGAGGCAGCAGUGGGGAAUCUUUGGACAAUGGGCGCAAGCCUGACCCAGCCAUGCCGCGUGCAGGAAGAAGGCGUUAUGCGUUGUAAACUACUUUUAUACGGGAAGAAAAAUACUACGUGUAGUAUACUGACGGUACCGUAAGAAUAAGGAUCGGCUAACUCCGUG
RNAcentral lists this ribosomal RNA (453 nucleotides) under uncultured bacterium. RNAcentral's name for it is "bacterial SSU rRNA". It matches the Rfam family "Bacterial small subunit ribosomal RNA", at positions 29 to 507 of the family's 1533-position model. The record is from RNAcentral.